GGAGGGGUCGCAUAGACUGGUCUAGUGCGGCGGAUUGCUAAUCCGUUGUACGGUCGAAAGGCCGUACCGUGGGUUCGAAUCCCACCCCCUCCGCCA
RNAcentral lists this transfer RNA (96 nucleotides) under Actinomycetota bacterium. RNAcentral describes it as "Actinobacteria bacterium (freshwater metagenome) tRNA-Ser". It matches the Rfam family "tRNA". Rfam says of the family: Transfer RNA (tRNA) molecules are approximately 80 nucleotides in length. Their secondary structure includes four short double-helical elements and three loops (D, anti-codon, and T loops). The record is from RNAcentral. Lineage: Bacteria; Bacillati; Actinomycetota.